RNAcentral lists this ribosomal RNA (449 nucleotides) under uncultured bacterium. RNAcentral's name for it is "partial 16S ribosomal RNA". It matches the Rfam family "Bacterial small subunit ribosomal RNA", at positions 338 to 795 of the family's 1533-position model. The record is from RNAcentral.
CCUACGGGUGGCAGCAGUGGGGAAUUUUGGACAAUGGGGGCAACCCUGAUCCAGCCAUGCCGCGUGAGUGAAGAAGGCCUUCGGGUUGUAAAGCUCUUUCAGCCGGGAAGAAAUCGCAUCAGCUAAUACCUGGUGUGGAUGACGGUACCGGAAUAAGAAGCACCGGCUAACUACGUGCCAGCAGCCGCGGUAAUACGUAGGGUGCGAGCGUUAAUCGAGAUUGCGCGGCGGAAUGUGUAAGCAGGCCGUGAAAUCCCCGGGCUCAACCUGGGAACUGCGUUUGUGACUGCACAGCUAGAGUAUGGCAGAGGGGGGUGGAAUUCCACGUGUAGCAGUGAAAUGCGUAGAGAUGUGGAGGAACACCGAUGGCGAAGGCAGCCCCCUGGGCCAAUACUGACGCUCAUGCACGAAAGCGUGGGUAGCAAACAGGAUUAGAUACCCCAGUAGUC